Ostrea edulis (European flat oyster) is the source of this 1229-nucleotide long non-coding RNA. RefSeq lists it as uncharacterized. The record is from RefSeq and is a predicted model, not a curated record. NCBI's taxonomy places the organism in Eukaryota, Metazoa, Mollusca, Bivalvia, Ostreida, Ostreidae. The transcript is spliced from 2 exons.
UUUGCCGCCCCAUAUAGAAUAUUUCCUUACGCCAAAUUCCCAAGGGAGACUUUUUUAGAUCAGCGCUUGCAUUCCACAUGAUCAUCCCCCUUCCCAUUCAUUCAUUCUUUCUUUAUUUCCUCCCAUGGGAGAUUGCAUGAACAAUGCAGAAAUUACAUCAUUAGAGUAUUACACAUAUUCAUAUAUACAAAGGAAAAGGAUAUGAGAUUUGUACAUAAGAAGAAAGUUGAGCACAAAAUAUGUACAGGCGAUACAUAGCUAAUUAGAAUUGAACACCGGGAAUGGUGAAAAACCUGCAGUUAUGUAAGACGUAACUGUCUGUUGUAACAUGCUGCUGCAUCCCGCAGGAAGCGGAAGUUCAGAAGAUGCAAGCCGGGUUCGUCAUAAUGGGAAAGAUUAACUGUGAACAUUCUAGCACCUAAUAGAAAAAGAUAUAGGUCUUGAUGACAGAGACCGCAAAGUUCAGCACUGAGCACAAUAUCAAGGUCAAUUACUGUAUUCCACCAAGCAUCUUGGAUAGCGACUAUUCCUACGCAAGUGGUCGAAACGUGUUCAAAAACGUUUGUGAAAUAUUUGCCACAGAUGAGACAAGAUGUCGGAGGAGAGUGUGGAAAGGACCAUAGCUUAGUGAUAAAUUUGCAAAUCUCUAUUUCAUGAAUGUUAGACGGAAUUUUCCAGAUAGUCUGUGGAGGUCGCCCUGCCGUUAUUUUGUUGAAUUGUUGAAAAGAAGGAUCCGAGAGCAUCCGUUUGUGCCUUGAAUCUAGAUGGAAAUCAAUUAUUGCUGUUUUGACGCUUGUUUUCCAACUCUUUGGAGGAAAGCAGGCCUAACCAUCUUGCAGAUAGAGUAGAAAAUGCCGGUGGAGGUUAUACUUAUAUAGUAGAUUAAAAACAUCAUGGAUAAAACCAAAAUGAGUGAGUUCCGGAGACUGUAUAAGAAAUCGGAAGAAGUCCAAGUAAGGAUUCACAAAUGUCAGAUCGAGUAACUUUUGGUAAACCCAUUACAUGCUUGCAAAUGAAGUGCUGUAAGGUAUUAAGGGCCUGCAGAUCUCGUUGGCGUAAAUCGCUCCAGAGUUCACAUCCGUAUAGGGUGGAAGGGAGAACAAUUCUGUUGUACAAACGCGAUACGGUAUCAGGGUUAAGGUGUUCUUGUAUUUUGAGUGCAUAGUAGGCUUGUCGACCUUUCCUACACGCGUUGGCAAUUUUCUCAGUAUGAACAAGCUUGGAUUGAA